Molecule: non-coding RNA, 101 nt
Organism: Lactarius quietus
Lineage: Eukaryota; Fungi; Basidiomycota; Agaricomycetes; Russulales; Russulaceae
Source: the annotation of a GenBank genome assembly
GCCCGCCUAGCUCAAUCGGAUAGAGCGUCAGACUCUUAGGCGGGUGUUGAUUACGCUCACUUGUAAUCUGAAGGCUGCGAGUUCGACCCUCGCGGUGGGCU